This 2222-nucleotide long non-coding RNA is filed under the name Bemisia tabaci. RNAcentral's name for it is "lncRNA ENSSSA2NGG003339". Lineage: Eukaryota; Metazoa; Arthropoda; Insecta; Hemiptera; Aleyrodidae. The record is from RNAcentral.
UGUAAUGCAUUUUUCCCAAUCAAUUUUAUUAAAGCUUGCACUUCGCAUGUUGAGACAAACGUCCAAGUAUUGUUUUCACGACUCAUCCGUCGUGCCAUCUGAUUGCAUUCAUUAACCUGUUGAGUGGUGCUAAUCAGAGAUUAACGUUUGUCUCAACAUAAAAUGUGUGAGCUCUUAUCAUUUUGAAUUAGGUAUGUUUCUUAAGCAAGUAUAGAUCACAAGUUACCAUCUUCUCUUGUCUCCUUAUCAGUUCAAAAUGUGCUUGUGAAGUGUCACCUUGUCUCACAUCGCUUAAACUAAUUUCCUCUUCCUCUUUUUCUCUGUCUCCAGAAUGAAAUAUGAGCGUCACCUGCCACCCACCAAGUACAAACAAGCCCUCGCUUUUGAAUGCUGAAUAUGGAUUGGAGUGUGAACUGGACUUGAUUUCCUGAAGCUAUCCUUCCAUCAGCCCGACAUAUAUUGUGGUGUAAUCAUGGAGUUGAAGACAGUGGUUUCAACGUGGUCAACAUUGGCGCUCCACCCAGGAUCUUGAGGGCGAACUUCUUUCAAAAAACGACGAAAAACUUGCCGCAAGCUUCUUUGCACGUGCUGCUCUUUAAGAACUCGCAGCUUUUGUUGAUCGUGCGUUUAAACAAAAGCUACGGAGGGAUUCCAUCGAACGUAAAAAGGGACUUAAUUAGAUUUACAAUAAAUGAUCAGUACAAAAAUGUAAUAAAGAGAAACAGAAUAAAACGGAACAUAUUUCGCAUGCACCUCCCAACUUAACAUUUGUUACGGAAAAUUAAACGUGUACGUGUGUGUUGAACAAAAAAUUGCAUGGAAUUUACUACAGGACAGGUCGUCCUCACAGAUGCGAAUGAUUUCGCUGUCGGUCUCGAACGAUUCGGUCGACACAUUUACCACCUGUCUGUGAAGGUGUACUUGCAUCUGAGAUAGAAUCAUAAGGUACUAUUGUAUUGUAUUGAAUUGUAUUGUGUAUUUUGUAUUGAGACUCCUGUCCUUCCGCUCCAGGCUCAGGCUCGUAUUGUGUUGAGCUCGGGCAGCAUCAGCAGUAAGUUUUCCGCCUAGGAGAAAACAAGAGUCCGGACGUGAAUUGCGGAGCGGGUGGCAGGGUGGCACCCUCUACUUUUAGACGAGUCCUCUCUGAUUGGCUGAUCCCACUUUCCGGAGCCCUUAUGGAAAAUAAUACGGGGUUCAUUUUCCAUCGAAAAUAUCUCGCGAACAAGGAAAAUUUUUUUCGGAGAUUUCAGAAAUUGAUUUUCCAGAUUUUCCUCAAGAGAUUGAUGGGCAAUACAUGACACUUCUUCCUCCACCACACUGAAUAGCUCGACUUGGAACUUGUUUUUUUUCCACAUGAAACAUGACACCCUCCGAUUGUUUACUGACACCAGAGUGCUUUCACUAAAAGGGACUUUACUGAAACUUGAGAAACGCGAUGCAUAAGCAGUUUUUGAGAUUCUUCUUCUUCGAAUAUUGGCCACUUUUUGAGGCCAGUCGAACUCUAGGGAGUAAAGUUGAAGCUCGCAUCAGUGCACUAUUGUUACGUAUUGUGCCAGCGGGUUGUUGUAAUUUUUGAAAACUAACUUCUGAAAAGCGAUAUUAAAAUAAGAAUGAUUUAAAAGCUGGAAAAUUACAAUUGGUCCCUCACUUGCACAAAAAUCGAAAGUUCAAGUAAAUAUCACUGGCAAAAAAACCUCUUGGUUCAAGAGUGCAGUUUCUUGUCGCCGGAUUUAAGAGUCUUGAACUCUUGUUUCAAGCGGAUCUUGCAUUGAUUCAAUUCACUGCACAAUUGAAUCAAUGCAAAAUCUGCUUGAAACAAGAGUUCAAGACUCUUUAAUCCGGCGACAAGAAACUGCACUCUUAAGUCAAUGCGCGGCAUUGGUCCAAGAGGUUUUUUUUUACCAGUGAUGUGAAAGUGAGUCACCCAUUGUAAUGUAAUUGUUCGUUAAUGAGCUUUUGCCGUCCGUUACACGUUGUAUCUAUCGUGUAAACCAAGGAUACCUGCAUUCCUCCGUUUUUCAUUUCAUCAAUAUUAUGUAGAGAUGUAACAUUCCUCUCCGGGGAUGAAAGUUUCCUCUCCGGAGACGAAACUUGACUCUGCGGAGAGAAGACCCUUUUCUCACAGAACUGUCAAUUCGUCAAUGUAUUGAUUGCUGAACACCUCCAUUGAAGGGGCGUCAUUUUGCACCGAUCACGCAGUCCAGACGGUUCCCGUCUGAAUU